Molecule: long non-coding RNA, 1391 nt
Filed under: Lepidothrix coronata (blue-crowned manakin)
Lineage: Eukaryota; Metazoa; Chordata; Aves; Passeriformes; Pipridae
Description: lncRNA (ENSLCOG00000013146.1)
Source: RNAcentral
NNNNNNNNNNNNNNNNNNNNNNNNNNNNNNNNNGUUUGUUUGUUUGUUUUGUUUGUUUGUUUGUUUGUUUUGUUUUGUUUUAAUCUCUACGGAAAAUUCCUAAAACCCCACAAAUCCACAGGGAAGUGUCAUGGUCUCAAUCCAACGUUUAUUCUCAAAAAAAAAAUAACCCCCUUCUCUUUGUUCUUUUUGUGCCUCCUGGCUCAGGCCUCCUCCUCCAUCAGCUCCAGCUCGGCGUCCUCGAAGCCGUAGAACGACUCGGUCUCGCUCUCUCCCUCGAAGAGCCGGUGGAGGAUUUCGGGAUCCGCCGCCUCCUCGGGAUGGGUCUCCCCCUCCUGGGGCUCGGGGGGUUCCUCCUCCCCCCGGCCCAGCUUGAGCUGCUCCUCCAGCGAGGCGAUGAGCUCCUCCUGCAUGUCCCCGUUGCGCGCCGGCGAGUUGGCCGUGCCGUCGGGGCCGGGCAGGACGCUGGCCACCAGGAAGGAUUGCUGCACCAGCUCCGGCGAGUCCCCGAUGACCUCCAGCGCCUCGGCCAGCCAGCACAAGACCAGCUGCAGGAGGAUGUCCGAGUCGCACGUGGAGUCCUCCGCCAUCUCCUUGGCCUGCUCCUUCCACUUUUUGUGCAAGAAGUUUUUCACGGUCCUCUUGACGCAAACGUCCAGGGGCUGGAUUUUGGAGCUGCAGCCGGCGGGCACCACGGCGGGCAGGGUGCUGGAGGAGCUGAGCACGGCCAGCACCUCCUCGCUCAGGUGGGUCCGGUGGCAGUCCAGCACCAGCAUGCCCUUGCCGCUCUGGCAGGCCACGUGCUCGUGCCACACGCGCGACGCCCACAGCUCCAUGACCUCGUCGUCGCUGUAGCCGCCCUCCCGGGCCUCCAGCAGGAUGGACUCGGGCACGUUGGCGGGCGCCCGCACGUGGCCCCGGUAGAGCACCAGGGCGGGCAGGACGGUGCCGUCGGCCAGGAUGGCCAGCACCACGUCGCACCAGGGCUCGCCGUUGCCCACGGUCUGCAGGGCGUUCUCCUUGCGGUCGUCGCCGCCGCCGCCCAGCACCUCGGCGUCCAGGAACAGGGAGAUCUCGUCCACGGCGGCGAUCAUGGACAGGGGCAGGUCCUGCGUGUGGAUCUGGCGCUGCACGAACUCGAUGAAGGAGCCGGCGCUGUCCUCCACGCCCUUGGGCAGCGGCUGGGCCACGGCCCGGCGCGUGUGGGUGCUCAGGUGGUGCCUCAGCAUGAACCUCACGGCCCACUCGUAGGAGAUCUUGAAGCCCCCUUCCAGCGAGCGCCCGAUCUUGGUGGCCUUCUGGAAGAGGGUCUCCUCGUUGACGGGCAGCUGCUGCUCCCGCUGGGUCAGCACCCACUCCGCCAGCUUCUCCUCGGCCUCCAGGCUCAGGUA